UACAGAGGGUGCAAGCGUUAAUCGGAAUUACUGGGCGUAAAGCGUGCGUAGACGGUUAUGUAAGUCAGGUGUGAAAGCCCCGGGCUCAACCUGGGAAUGGCAUUUGAGACUGCAUAGCUAGGGUGCGGAAGAGGGAAGCGGAAUUUCCGGUGUAGCGGUGAAAUGCGUAGAUAUCGGAAGGAACAUCAGUGGCGAAAGCGGCUUCCUGGUCCAGCACAGACGUUCAGGCACGAAAGCGUGGGGAGCAAACAGG
This 253-nucleotide ribosomal RNA is filed under the name uncultured bacterium. RNAcentral describes it as "partial 16S ribosomal RNA". It matches the Rfam family "Bacterial small subunit ribosomal RNA", at positions 524 to 776 of the family's 1533-position model. The record is from RNAcentral.